This 77-nucleotide transfer RNA is filed under the name Bryobacterales bacterium. Its description in RNAcentral is "tRNA-Ile". It matches the Rfam family "tRNA". From Rfam's summary of the family: Transfer RNA (tRNA) molecules are approximately 80 nucleotides in length. Their secondary structure includes four short double-helical elements and three loops (D, anti-codon, and T loops). Further hydrogen bonds mediate the characteristic L-shaped molecular structure. tRNAs have two regions of fundamental functional importance: the anti-codon, which is responsible for specific mRNA codon recognition, and the 3' end, to which the tRNAs corresponding amino acid is attached (by aminoacyl-tRNA synthetases). tRNAs cope with the degeneracy of the genetic code in two manners: having more than one tRNA (with a specific anti-codon) for a particular amino acid; and 'wobble' base-pairing, i.e. permitting non-standard base-pairing at the 3rd anti-codon position. The record is from RNAcentral. Lineage: Bacteria; Pseudomonadati; Acidobacteriota; Terriglobia; Bryobacterales.
GGGCCUGUAGCUCAGUUGGUUAGAGCGCAUCCCUGAUAAGGAUGAGGUCGCUGGUUCAAAUCCAGCCAGGCCCACCA